CAGCAGCCGCGGUAAUACGGAGGGUCCGAGCGUUAAUCGGAAUUACUGGGCGUAAAGCGCGCGUAGGCGGUUAGAUCAGUUGGGUGUGAAAGCCCCGGGCUCAACCUGGGAACUGCAUACAAUACUGUCUGACUAGAGUAUGGGAGAGGGCAGUGGAAUUCCACGUGUAGCGGUGAAAUGCGUAGAUAUGUGGAGGAACACCUGUGGCGAAGGCGGCUGCCUGGCCCAAUACUGACGCUGAGGUGCGAAAGCGUGGGUAGCGAACAGGAUUAGAUACCCUGGUAGUCCACGCCGUAAACGAUGUCAACUAGCCGUUGGGGGACUUGAUCCCUUAGUGGCGCAGCUAACGCGAUAAGUUGACCGCCUGGGGAGUACGGCCGCAACGGUAAAACUCAAAUGAAUUGACGGGGGCCCGCACAAGCGGUGGAGCAUGUGGUUUAAUUCGAUGCAACGCGAAGAACCUUACCAGGUCUUGACAUCCUCGGAACUUUCCAGAGAUGGAUCGGUGCCUUCGGGAACCGAGUGAC
Molecule: ribosomal RNA, 527 nt
Filed under: uncultured Gammaproteobacteria bacterium
Lineage: Bacteria; Pseudomonadati; Pseudomonadota; Gammaproteobacteria
Description: bacterial SSU rRNA
Rfam family: Bacterial small subunit ribosomal RNA
Source: RNAcentral